GUAGCCUUUUUCGAGAUACAGACUUUAGAAAGUUGAUUUUCUUAACGAAACCUUGCUAGAAUCAAAGAAAAGUUAUUAUGACAGUAUUUUUUGGACCAAAAAAUAUAGGUUCGCGUUGCUUUUCUUAGCGUAUUUUGUACUUAUCUCCCAUGCCUAUCAAUUUUGCCCUUAAAAAUACGUGUCUUGUCCUAGCGUUGAAAAGUCAUCUCAGUGCCUUUAGGGCUACGGAAUAAUUUUUAUUUUGCCUUUUGUAUAAAGCAGAGUGCACGAAGUCUCUAAUAAUAAAAAACAACGGGCGCACAUAUCGACCAAUCAGGAUAAGUCCUACUCUUAAUUCUGAAUACCAUGUUAUGCUCAUAAAAUGGCUGCGCCCAUAAAAUCUAAUGGUGUAUUGUAACCUCCAGAGACUAGGUGCUUCAAAACUAGUUGUCUCAGGAACUAGGUGCUUCAGAGACUAGUCAUUUCAGGACUAGGUGUUUUAGAGACUGGGUGUCUCAGAACUAGGUGUUUCAGGAACCUAGGAUUUUUGAAGCUUGUUCUUAAGUUUAAUAUAAUUGUUUGUCAAAUCAGUUGGGACCUCGGAGGCAGUAAAAGGAUCAAGGAUAAAUUGAGGUUAUAGUUUUCAGACUACUUUUUGAUAUAAAGUUAUUUGUGUAAAUAGUGUUAUUUCUUUAUUAAGUUUCAAAGUUUC
Molecule: long non-coding RNA, 691 nt
Filed under: Mytilus galloprovincialis (Mediterranean mussel)
Lineage: Eukaryota; Metazoa; Mollusca; Bivalvia; Mytilida; Mytilidae
Source: RNAcentral